GACCCUUUCCUCAGGUUUUUCUUUCACUUUCACAAACUCAAUAACCAGUGGACUGUCUGAUGUUGGCCUGUUGUUAGGAUUAAGCAAACUACCCUUCUUGAAACCUUGUUUGUUACAAACAUAACGCAAAUAAUGUACCUUAUCUGAUUUCUUAUUUUGUGAAUUAAUCUUCGACUUCAACAUAGUCCUAAUAGAAAAUCCAGUGUUAUAUGCAUAAUUACCAUAAAAAUCUUCAAUCUCUUUAAUAGAUUGAAAGACUAAAGACUUCCAUGAUUCUUCAUUGCUAGGGGAGUAACAUUG
Molecule: long non-coding RNA, 300 nt
Filed under: Medicago truncatula (barrel medic)
Lineage: Eukaryota; Viridiplantae; Streptophyta; Magnoliopsida; Fabales; Fabaceae
Description: long non-coding RNA (MTRU_LNC006833)
Source: RNAcentral